RNAcentral lists this transfer RNA (70 nucleotides) under Loxodonta africana (African savanna elephant). It matches the Rfam family "tRNA". Rfam says of the family: Transfer RNA (tRNA) molecules are approximately 80 nucleotides in length. The record is from Rfam by way of RNAcentral. Lineage: Eukaryota; Metazoa; Chordata; Mammalia; Proboscidea; Elephantidae.
GCAGUGGUGGGUCAGCGGUAGAACUCUUACCUCCCAUGCAGGAGACCUGGGUUCGAUUCCCAGCAAUGCA